This 812-nucleotide ribosomal RNA is filed under the name uncultured bacterium. RNAcentral describes it as "bacterial SSU rRNA". It matches the Rfam family "Bacterial small subunit ribosomal RNA", at positions 28 to 817 of the family's 1533-position model. The record is from RNAcentral.
GAUGAACGCUAGCGGCGUGCCUAAUGCAUGCAAGUCGAACGGUAACUUGGGGACCUAGUCCCCAGGUGAGAGUGGCGGACGGGUGCGUAACACGUUGGUGACCUACCCUGGAGAGGGGGACAACCGGUGGAAACGCCGGCUAAAACCCCGGAUGUCACCCUGGUUAGAGAGGGGUGACUGAAACAGCCUGCCGGAAACGGCAGGCGCGUGCUCCAGGAGGGGCCUGCGGCCCAUCAGCUAGUUGGUAGGGUAACGGCCUACCAAGGCAAAGACGGGUAGGGGGCGUGAGAGCGCGACCCCCCACACUGGUACUGAAACACGGACCAGAUACCUGCGGGUAGCAGCAGCAAGGAAUAUUGCGCAAUGGACGGAAGUCUGACGCAGCAACGCCGCGUGGAGGACGAAGGCCUUCGGGUUGUAAUCUCCUUUUCUGGGGGAAGAACAGGCUAUCUACGGAUAGCCCAUGACGGUACCCCAGGAAGAAGGCCCGGCUAACUACGUGCCAGCAGCCGCGGUAAAACGUAGGGGUCGAGCGUUAUCCGGAAUUACUGGGCGUAAAGCGCGUGCAGGCGGUUCUGAAAGUCGGACGUGAAAGCUCCCGGCCCAACUGGGAGAGGCCGUUCGAAACUAUGGGACUAGAGGAUGGUAGAGGCAAGUGGAAUUCCCGGUGUAGUGGUGAAAUGCGUAGAUAUCGGGAGGAACACCAGCGGCGAAAGCGGCUUGCUGGGCCAUCACUGACGCUCAGACGCGAAAGCCAGGGGAGAGAACGGGAUUAGAAACCCCGGUAUUCCUGGCUGUAAACGAUGUCAACU